AAUAAAUACAAUUUUGCAAUAUUUAUGUCCAACAUAAUGUUGAUCUCUCGUCUUAUUUAAAUUUUUUAUUAGUAUUUUUAUUGGUACUAGAUGAAAAAACAUGAAUAAUAUUUUAUGUGUGUGACUAAUUUUUUUAAAAUUUUUUAAUAAGAUGGAUGGUCAAAUGUUGGAUACAGAUACCUAAGGCUGCACUUAUU
MicroRNA precursor from Oryza sativa Indica Group (long-grained rice), 197 nucleotides. It matches the Rfam family "MIR812 microRNA precursor family". The record is from Rfam. Lineage: Eukaryota; Viridiplantae; Streptophyta; Magnoliopsida; Poales; Poaceae.